Alligator sinensis (Chinese alligator) is the source of this 1816-nucleotide long non-coding RNA. RefSeq lists it as uncharacterized. NCBI's taxonomy places the organism in Eukaryota, Metazoa, Chordata, Crocodylia, Alligatoridae. The transcript is spliced from 3 exons. The record is from RefSeq and is a predicted model, not a curated record.
UGGUUGGCAGAAGCUUGCAGCAGCCUGUACACACUAGGCUGUAGGAGUCUGCAGAAUUACAGGGAGUACAGCCCAGCUCCAAGCAGCUGGGAGUGAUUACAGGCUACCUAGGAAGACUGGGCCAACUGAUUCAAACAGUUAGCUGGCCCACAGGAACCUUAAAGCCUCCUGGGAAAAGGAGUCUGAGAAGAAGCUAAAGAAAUGGGGAGGAGAGAGGAGCCAGGCUAGUGGUGGCAGAACUGAGCUAGGCUACUUCUUGGGCUCUGGGGAGAGAUCCAAGACUGUGAGGUUGGAGGCAGCUGCACCAGGAAAGGACUGGAGCCAAGCCAGGCAGAAGAAGACUGCAGUGUGGAGGAAGCAGCAGUGAGCUAAAGGCCCCUCCUCAGGGCUAGAAGAGACCCAGGACUUCAUUUCAUACUUUCAUAGAUGUCCAAAAACUAACAAGAAGAAACGAAAUGAGGAAAAAACCCUGCCUCAUCAAUUUGCAUCUCUCAAGCAGGGAAAGAAACAAGAGAAUGGGUCUCAUGGAUCAACCUUCUCUUUACGAAGAACUGGAUGUGGUCCGAAGGGGAAUCUAACAGUUCCUCGGCAUUCAGCCGAGACUAUCUGGAAUAUCCAACUUGGGACUCCGCUGCCAUUCAUACCACUCUGCUGCAGGGAUAACCCUUUGAAAUUGAUUUUUUAGGUAGCUGCUACAGUGAAGCAGGCCUAGUAGCAAGGCCCAAGAGAGUCACAUUGUCAGGAACCUGGAAGGGAAUGAAGUAGGAGAGAUACUUCUUUCCAUCGCAGUUUUCCCUACUCUCACUUCCUAUUUGGAAGCCCAAGCAGCAGGUAAUGCAAGUCAAUCAUUGAAGCCAUAGUAAUCCCUCCAGGUAACAACUAUAUAGCUCUCAUUCCAGUUUAUGUUGGUAUCCCUACAAGAAGAUGCCAUGUCACAGCCUAUAAUAAAAACCACCAAAACUGAUGAGACCCCCAACCCAUUUUUAUCUACUUGAACCACUAGUUUUAAAGUGCAGUGUUCCAAAAGGCAAUACCAAAUGACAUCUUGUUGAGGGUUAACAACAUUUACUAGCCAUAAAUUUGAUUGAUUCAUACCUAGCUUUCAUUCUUAAAUCUGGUCCAACAUUAAGACUAAAUGGAUAUCAAAAAUUGGAAUAGGCAAAAAGAGAAGUGUCAAUCAUUGUUUUCCUUAUUGCCAUAUUUUACCCAUGCAGUCUUCAAAGAAAAGAAGAACUUUAAUUGUGUUAAUAAUUAAAGAGGCCUGUAGCAGACAGCUUGGAUUUGCUUUGGAGAAUAACAGUAUACUUAUAGUUACAGUGCAAUAUUUUUGCAACCUGCAGGGUCUUAAUUUCAAGAUUAAGAUAAUAAAUGUAGUAAAUCACAAAUAGAAUGAGAAUGAGAGUCAAGUUAAUUAUAUGAUUCAGUGAAAAGCUAUAGAGACGGUGCUUUGAGAAUUAGCAUCUGUCAAUCAACCGUUCUAGUAUCAAUUAUACAUAUAUUUCUCACCUAAAAAAUUGCAACAUGAAACCUAAAUGCAACUUUUAAAUGCCUGAAUCUAAAAUUGGAAACCAAAAUCAAAUAAUUCUGCUCCUCUACAAGAUCUAUUCUGAAAUGUCUAUAAUACGGGUACCAUACAAUACUGUAUGCUUAAGACAUACAUUGUCAUCGUGAUGUAAAACCAGUGACAGACAAUGUGAUGUGCUCUGUAUAGCAAUCCUAAUUUUGGGAAUGACAUCCUUACCUCAGUUAAUCUAUAGGAGUGUGUGACAGGGUGAGAAGUCCACCCUGUCAAGCGACAUGAAAAGAACAGAGAACA